GACGAACGCUGGCGGCGUGCUUAACACAUGCAAGUCGAACGGAAAGGCCCUGCUUUUGUGGGGUGCUCGAGUGGCGAACGGGUGAGUAACACGUGAGUAACCUGCCCUUGACUUUGGGAUAACUUCAGGAAACUGGGGCUAAUACCGGAUAGGAGCUCCUGCUGCAUGGUGGGGGUUGGAAAGUUUCGGCGGUUGGGGAUGGACUCGCGGCUUAUCAGCUUGUUGGUGGGGUAGUGGCUUACCAAGGCUUUGACGGGUAGCCGGCCUGAGAGGGUGACCGGGCACAAUGGGACUGAGGGACGGACCAGACUGCUACGGGAGGCAAGAGGGGGGAAUAUUGCACAAUGGGGGGAAGCCAGGUGCAGCAACGCCGGGUGCGGGAUGACGGCCUUUGGGUUGUAAACCGCUUUCGCCUGUGACGAAGCGUGAGUGACGGUAAUGGGUAAAGAAGCACCGGCUAACUACGUG
RNAcentral lists this ribosomal RNA (468 nucleotides) under uncultured bacterium. RNAcentral's name for it is "partial 16S ribosomal RNA". It matches the Rfam family "Bacterial small subunit ribosomal RNA", at positions 28 to 507 of the family's 1533-position model. The record is from RNAcentral.